Molecule: long non-coding RNA, 308 nt
Organism: Nanorana parkeri
Lineage: Eukaryota; Metazoa; Chordata; Amphibia; Anura; Dicroglossidae
Exons: 2
Source: RefSeq, a predicted model, not a curated record
ACUGGGCCUAAACUUCUUUAUAAGGACAGAGAAACCACUGAAUAUUCAUGUGAUCCUGGAUAUAAACCAUCUUCACUUCCUGGACUUACAUGCACUAAAAAUGACUGGAGCCCCAUGCCUUUAUGUGAAGAAAUUGUUUGCUACCAAGAAACUGUGAAAAAUGGUAAUGUCAGAUAUACCAAGGAAACAUACAGAGAUGGAGAGACUGUUGAACUCACAUGCAAUGAAGGAUACCAAAUUGAGCACAAUCCAGAAGAGCCCAGGAAAUGCACAUCACGUGGAUGGAGCCCACCACUGAAAUGUAUUAG